UCCCUGGUGGCUCAGCUGGUAAAGAACCCGCCUACAAUGCGGGAGACCUGGGUUCGACCCCUGGUUGGGAAG
RNAcentral lists this transfer RNA (72 nucleotides) under Bos taurus (domestic cattle). It matches the Rfam family "tRNA". Rfam says of the family: Transfer RNA (tRNA) molecules are approximately 80 nucleotides in length. Their secondary structure includes four short double-helical elements and three loops (D, anti-codon, and T loops). Further hydrogen bonds mediate the characteristic L-shaped molecular structure. tRNAs have two regions of fundamental functional importance: the anti-codon, which is responsible for specific mRNA codon recognition, and the 3' end, to which the tRNAs corresponding amino acid is attached (by aminoacyl-tRNA synthetases). tRNAs cope with the degeneracy of the genetic code in two manners: having more than one tRNA (with a specific anti-codon) for a particular amino acid; and 'wobble' base-pairing, i.e. permitting non-standard base-pairing at the 3rd anti-codon position. Lineage: Eukaryota; Metazoa; Chordata; Mammalia; Artiodactyla; Bovidae. RNAcentral also lists the same sequence under 5 other names. The record is from Rfam by way of RNAcentral.